RNAcentral lists this ribosomal RNA (408 nucleotides) under uncultured bacterium. RNAcentral's name for it is "bacterial SSU rRNA". It matches the Rfam family "Bacterial small subunit ribosomal RNA", at positions 976 to 1381 of the family's 1533-position model. The record is from RNAcentral.
UAGCCUUGACAUUGAAGAAAUAGACCAGAGAUGGACUAGUGCCCUUCGGGGAAUCUGAAAACAGGUGCUGCACGGCUGUCGUCAGCUCGUGUCGUGAGAUGUUGGGUUAAGUCCCGCAACGAGCGCAACCCUCGUCCUUAGUUGCCAGCAGGUUAAGCUGGGCACUUUAAGGAGACUGCCUUCGCAAGGAGGAGGAAGGUGAGGACGACGUCAAGUCAUCAUGGCCCUUAUGGCUAGGGCUACACACGUGCUACAAUGGGGCGUACAGAGAGUUGCGAUACCGCGAGGUGGAGCCAAUCUCAUAAAGCGUCUCUCAGUUCGGAUUGAAGUCUGCAACUCGACUUCAUGAAGCUGGAAUCACUAGUAAUCGUAGAUCAGCAAUGCUACGGUGAAUACGUUCCCGGGUCU